UCUCUGCAAUGCGUUAAAAAGCCAAAAGCUCAUAAUUUUGCAGCAUAAAGCUCAAAAAUUGUUAUAGCUCUUGCAUAAAAUAAACAAAUACAAAUGACUGCUGUGGAAGCCGUAAUAAAGUCUUAAUACUUUAUGGCUUUUAAGCCGUAAUUAUAUAAUUGAACUCACAAGCAUGCAGAGAAUAAGUGAAACAAACAACAAAAUAAUAAUUUUGGUUAAGACAGCUUUUAGGGCAAAAGCGAAAUCUUAAAACUGCAUUGAUUAUAAUAACUCCACUUUAUUAUGGACUUCACAAAAGCGGAAACACGAAGAUUUGUUUCAGUGCGGAAAAGAUAAUUUUGAGCAUGGGUUGAAGAAUUUUCGCCGACAAAUGUUAGGAGCUUGCAAUUCAUAAAAUAAAAAGUUUCUGAAGAACAAGUGUGGAUUCCGAAUGCAACUAAUAAACAUAAUAAACUUUGUUGACACUAACAAAGGAGUUUGGAAUUAUGAAAGUAAAAAAGUUUUUUAGCAGUGAUUUAGAUAUGGUUUUUUAUCAAUGGCAUGAACAAAAAGUUAGAGAGCCUGACUGGUGUGAAAAUGAAUUUGACAAGAUUGUUAACCCCAAAGAAUACAUAGAAGAAUUUUAUGAAAAAACAAAGGGCUAGUGAAAUAUAGAAAUUAUUCAUUAUUAUCUGAAGUAGUUACAGAAUGGUUUAUUGAAAGAGCACAGCAAAUUGAAGCAAGAUCUGAACUUGUAGAUGAUGCUCUUCAACUUUUGAAACUUGGAAUGCAAAGGAGCAUACAAGGUGUGGAUAAAUUGUAUGAUGAUUUGAAGACUUCAGAAAUUUUAAUUUAUGAUUGUGGAAUAAAAAAAGACCUAAAUUUAUCUGAUUUUCAAAAACUGAGUGACUCUGAAAAAGUUAAGCUCAUUAUGUCCACAACAUCAAAAGAAAACUUCAUUGCUCAUUUGUAUUCAUGGUUAGUACUUUACCUCAAUUAGUGUGAAAAAUAUAGUUCAGGAUCUGCAAAACCUCUCCUCAAAAAUUACAUUCUCUAUAUGUCAAGUAAUGAUUUCAGUUACUGCAAGGUGUUUACAGAAAGUUUAAAAUCAGAGAACUGACGAGUUAAAUAAAGCUGCAGCUGUUUAGAAAUUCUUUUAACAUUGCCUGAUUACUUCAACAAAACGUAUCGUAAGUUAUGCAGCUUACCAUCAAGUGUAGCUGAUUUGAGGAAACACAUGUGGUUCUUGAAGAAAUUUGUUGCAAUAAUGCAGAAAUUUUAGAGAAAAAUAAUUGUGCUGUAACAUUGUCCAUGGUCCUUUCCAACAACAUAAUGGAAGUGAAAAAGAUUUUAGUGAAGUUGUCCAAAAUGGCUAGUAACAGAUUUGGAAAAAAAAUAAUUGAAAUACCCUUUCAAUAUUCUUCAAAAAUUCAAGAAAUUCUGUUGAUUCUCAGUAUGUGUGAAUUCCAGGUUCAAAGAAAACAAUAAGAUCAGAAGUAGAAAUAGUCAUGAGAGAAGAAAAAUGUACAGUUAAAGAAAGAAUUAUUGUCGAUGGAGAAUUUUUGCCUCAAGCAUUUACACUCCCCGGAACUCCGCUGUUUCAAAUCAACUGAGAAAUUCUUAGCCGUCCUCUAUAUACAUCUGAUAUAGUACCAUGCAAUAAUCAAUUGUUUGGUCUCCUGAAGAAAUGCUACCAUAUUUUUAUACAGUGAAGAAAAAGCCUUGCUUAGGAAUCAGCAGUGAGAUUUUAGAAAGGGUAUUGGAUAAUUUAAUGCAUUGUACGAAUAUUUGCUUUGACCACUUAGGGUUUCUUUUCUGAAAGACACUGUGUUGCGAUUUGCUGCUGAUAUAAAUAUAAAAACUAACAUCUCCUGUACAUCUCCAUUCAUUUUUAUCAUACCCUGUUUUUUGUUCUUUCAAAAUUUUGCUUUAUUUUUUAUACAUCUUACUCUCCUUUAGAGCCAUAAAAUAAAAUUUUAUGAACUUGA
Non-coding RNA from Parasteatoda tepidariorum (common house spider), 1967 nucleotides. The record is from RefSeq and is a predicted model, not a curated record. NCBI's taxonomy places the organism in Eukaryota, Metazoa, Arthropoda, Arachnida, Araneae, Theridiidae.